GAUGAACGCUGGCGGCGUGCCUAAUACAUGCAAGUCGAGCGAACAGACGAGGAGCUUGCUCCUCUGACGUUAGCGGCGGACGGGUGAGUAACACGUGGAUAACCUACCUAUAAGACUGGGAUAACUUCGGGAAACCGGAGCUAAUACCGGAUAAUAUAUUGAACCGCAUGGUUCAAUAGUGAAAGACGGUUUUGCUGUCACUUAUAGAUGGAUCCGCGCCGCAUUAGCUAGUUGGUAAGGUAACGGCUUACCAAGGCAACGAUGCGUAGCCGACCUGAGAGGGUGAUCGGCCACACUGGAACUGAGACACGGUCCAGACUCCUACGGGAGGCAGCAGUAGGGAAUCUUCCGCAAUGGGCGAAAGCUUGACGGAGCAACGCCGCGUGAGUGAUGAAGGUCUCCGGAUCGUAAAACUCUGUUAUUAGGGAAGAACAAAUGUGUAAGUAACUAUGCACGUCUUGACGGUACCUAAUCAGAAAGCCACGGCUAACUACGUG
Molecule: ribosomal RNA, 497 nt
Filed under: uncultured bacterium
Lineage: Bacteria
Description: partial 16S ribosomal RNA
Rfam family: Bacterial small subunit ribosomal RNA
Source: RNAcentral